This 469-nucleotide ribosomal RNA is filed under the name Streptomyces sp. 046-4.3-CV-A-11. RNAcentral's name for it is "bacterial SSU rRNA". It matches the Rfam family "Bacterial small subunit ribosomal RNA", at positions 16 to 502 of the family's 1533-position model. Lineage: Bacteria; Bacillati; Actinomycetota; Actinomycetes; Kitasatosporales; Streptomycetaceae. The record is from RNAcentral.
AUCCUGGCUCAGGACGAACGCUGGCGGCGUGCUUAACACAUGCAAGUCGAACGAUGAAGCCCUUCGGGGUGGAUUAGUGGCGAACGGGUGAGUAACACGUGGGCAAUCUGCCCUUCACUCUGGGACAAGCCCUGGAAACGGGGUCUAAUACCGGAUAACACCGGCUUCCGCAUGGGAGCUGGUUAAAAGCUCCGGCGGUGAAGGAUGAGCCCGCGGCCUAUCAGCUUGUUGGUGGGGUAAUGGCCUACCAAGGCGACGACGGGUAGCCGGCCUGAGAGGGCGACCGGCCACACUGGGACUGAGACACGGCCCAGACUCCUACGGGAGGCAGCAGUGGGGAAUAUUGCACAAUGGGCGAAAGCCUGAUGCAGCGACGCCGCGUGAGGGAUGACGGCCUUCGGGUUGUAAACCUCUUUCAGCAGGGAAGAAGCGAAAGUGACGGUACCUGCAGAAGAAGCGCCGGCUAACU